UGCAUAGUGUCUUGAGAUAUUUUCAUCUCUCUCUUCUCCAAUCUACCUUUCCCGCAUUAGAAAAAAACCGAUUAUUUUAUGGAGUAUACUUUCAUGAUAUAUUCUUCCCAUUUCCCAUGGUGUUGUGUCUUCUCAACGCUGUCUUCCUCAUUUUGGCGCGCCUUAAUCUAACGCUGAUAAUUCGUUCUCCAAUUUUUUUCAAUGGAAUUCAAGAGUGCAAAAGGUAAAAUUUGAAAUUAUAGUUCCGAAUAUCAAAUGCUACUGUUCUAGGUUCCCAGUAUUACGGUUGGAGUUUUCUCAGCUCCUUGAUGAAUGAUAUAGGUGUACUACUGUACUUUAAGUAUAUUGCUCGGACUCAGGUACUCACUACUCGUGUCGGACAUGAAUACAUGUCCGUUUCGACUAUUUAUAAAAAAACUAGUUUUUAGGCUCGGGCUAUGCCUUAGGUGCUUAUUGUUUUCAUAAUUAAUAUUUUACUUUAAAAUGAUAUCAUCAAAUAUCAUUUGGUUUAAUGGUGGCGUUCCUUGGUUAAGACUUAAGAACACCUUAAUAGAUAUUAUAAAUCUGGCCUAAAACAAAAGUAUCGAGGAUUUCACUCGGACAUGUAAGGUGAAAUAGAGAGUCCGAGUAACAUAGCUGGUUAGAUACUUAGAUCAUUAGAUGCAUAAAUCCUGAGUGCUUGAUUUCAUUCUUUGAUUGUUCCUGAUUUUUAAUUUUUUGGUGGGUUUGUUCUCUAAGAUUUUUGAUAAAAAAUUUACUACUUGCUUGUUUGGUGUGCUAUGCAAGUGGAAUUUGUUAGUUGUUUCCCUUGAGAUACGGUGCUGCCUGACCAUAGACUGUAUUCUUCACCAUGUUAUCAAUUUUUUCAUUAUUUAUUGGCCUUGGAAACAAUGAACAUUUGCUUUGUCUUGCAAGUGGGCUAUGCUUUUUAUUUAAGAUUAGUAUAUCCUGACAAUUGUAGUCUUGGAAAUAUAGAUAAAUUCUUAUGCGCGUGUGAAGAAUCGUCUUUUGUAGAUUGUGUAUCAAUUCAGACCCGUCCCUGACAUUUUGGAGGCCUUGUGGCAAAGUCAGAAAUAAAGUCCCCAAUGUAGGAGUAAUAUAAAAAAAGCAGUGUAUAAAAUUCAAGUUUAUGCAACAGUAAAUGUGUUAUUUUUUUAUAAAUAGUAAAUAUUACUUAUAAACAUUACUUUGUAUUUACUAUUUAACAAUUAUUUGAUUAAAAAAUUAAAAACAUUGACCUUUUAAAUUAUACAAAUAUAUUAUUACUUACCCCAAAUGCUCAUUUCUAAACGCGAAAUGACUUCUAACAUUUUAUAUCAAUACACUCUUAACAAAUUUUGCUAUAUACUCCUAAUAAGAUGGCUAGACCAUCUAAUUACAACUAAAAAAUUAGCAUUAUGGAAUUAUCAGAAGACAUAUUUAAAUACAAAUAUUUCACAACUGACCCAAGGAUCAGGCAGCAACAUUGAAAUAUACAAAAAAUAAUUCAGAAAGACAAUUGAAGCCUGAAGGAACAAACAAAUUUCACCCUACAAAAAAUCUUCCGGAAAAAAAAAAGAAAAGCAAACAUACUCGAUACCAUAAUUGUAGUUUCAAGGAACACAAAGAGAAUAAAAAUACUAUUGAAGGAGAAAAACAAAGAAACCAGAUUUUUAGAUCCAGUUCAUCAAUAAGAUUGAGUAAAUAAAAAAAGACUUGAAGGAGUAAGAAUAUUAGAAGGCUAAUAUGAGGCCAUUGUAAAUUGGAGGAGGAAUUGAAUUUACAUGGGAACUUUCCAAAAUUUAAUAUGGUAAAGCCGUAAAGGUGAGCUGCAUUGCUGUUAGUGAGACUGGAGAAGAUAAAUAAUUUUUGAUAGCCGUGCUUAUACUUUCCUUUCUAAUCAUUAAAUUUUCAUUUUUUUAAAAAAAAAGCUUAACAGAAUUUUAUAGUACGUUGGGCUUCUCUCCCUUAAGCCCUGGGCGCCCCUCCUGCUGAGCCCCAGGGACGGGCCUUUGUAUCAUCCAUCAAAAUGCCAAUACUACAUACUCCAUUUCCCAACAAGUAAAGACCAGGUUAUGUCAUAGGGUGAAAAAUUGGAUGAACACAUGCACCCUCCAUCCAGCUUUGUUGGUAGCCUUUAUAUAUGAUACGUUUACAAGAUUCAUUAAGUACAUGUUUCCUUUUCUUCAGUUUUAUUCUCGGUAUCUUCAGUUAUUCAAUUAGUCAAUGCUGGCAUGUAUACAAGAAAAAUUUAUAUAAAAUUUUAUAAAGCAAACCUGCAGAUAUUUGGGGACAUAUUAUAAUGGAAUCUAGGAACACCAAUUAGGAUGGAAAGAUUACCAUUAUAGAGAAUAACCUUGCAUUAAACUUGAGAGGUGGAUAUGAGAUUUUUUAUGGUAACUUGGCAAUUUUCUUCUAGUAAGGGUGGCAUUGAUUGAUUGUAUAUGAAUGUUGUGAGCUAUUGCAGUUUAUGAUUUAAACGUAUUUGGUAAAGAAGCAAUACUUGUUGAAAUUGUGGAAGACACGUGUUUUGGGUAAGGAAUGAGAAACUCUGUUACAUUAUUUUAUAUGUGCACAUUCAUGAUUCAUGAUAUGUUGAACUAUAUAUUGUUGAGUGGCAAAACCACUUUUUUGUAUUAAGUUUGAUGAGGUCAUUGAGCUUAUACUUCGUGCUAGUUGCAUAAAUGGUAAGAGGACGUAAUGGUUAUUAGCUUUCUUGUCAUUUCGAUUUUCAAUUUGUGAACUAUACAUCUCAAUUUGUCCAAACCCACUUUGGUGACUUGGCUUGUAAACUAAUAAGUUUUGUAUUGAAUUUUUACACAGGAAACUAAACUUAUAAGGCUUUUGUUUCUACAUAUUCUUGGCUUAAUAUUGGUACCGAAUCUGGAUGCAUAUGCAGGUGUUUAUAUGAGUGUUUAUUUGUCCAUAGAACGCGUGAGAUGCUAGAGUAAGUAUUCUUGCGUACUCAGGUCCCCAAACAUCUAUCUCAGGUUCAGGUAGAUGUUAGUGCUUUUGCCAAAUUAAAGGUUGUCAUGUGGGUUGUGUUGUAAAGGGUAUCUGGAGACAGAUCUGAAGGCCUUGUAUGAGCUUGUUGCUUUUUUUUCUUUGUUCUCCAUGUUUUUUCCUUACUGAUAUUCCAAACUACUGAAUCGCAUUUCUUCCAUUUUUGUGGUUAGAAAACUUUUUUUUUGUAUUUACCCCUAAUCUAAUAUUUAACCUUUAUAUUUCUUCUUGAUAACCUUCAUGUUCCAUCUAGUGGCAUCUACACAGGCUUGCUGCUAUGCCCCAUUUUUGUCCUGUAUAGUCCACAUUACUGUAAUUUGUCUCUUUAUGAGGUUUAAGCUGUGCCUCACAUGUGGUCAGAGCGCUGCGGGUCUUUUGCUUUCUGAUUGUGCUCUGCUCUUAAAAGAAGUCUGGACCAUGGCUCCCCAUUAUUCCAUUUUCUUUUGAUUUUCCAAAUCCUGCAGAUCUUUGAUGCUCAAACCUGAAAGAUCUUGCCCCAUAAGUUUCCUGCAACCAAACAUGAUGCUGAGAUACAGCAGCAGGAGUUUUGCAAGUUUGUAGAAGGUAUCUGCAUGUCCAUACUCAAAAUUUACUGCAAAACUAGGCAAGUGCUUAAAAGCUUCAAUAUGCAACUCUAUUGGUGAUUCAUCUUUAUAUUCAACUCAAGAUUUUCUCGGUGAGGUUGUGGAUAAGAUCCUGAAGAUUCUUGAACCCAUUUGGGUUAGGUUGUGGAUAAAAUAAGGACAAAUUGGAGGAACCCAAGUAAUAAACUGAACUCGUGAAACUAGUUGGGAGUUUUCCAUAUAUAAAGUACGUGAGACCAUUUGCUGCUUGAUCCAAGAUAAUUUUCCUAGCCAUUAUGCUGAAAGACGCAGGAAUAUGAUGCUGGAAUAUUGUCAGAAUCCUGGGGAACCACCAUAAAUAAGUCACAGGCCCUUGAUUGGCUUCUGGGUUGCAGUUUCUUCUGCAAAUGAAACACAAGACAAUUAGCUACUUUACUUGGCAUCAGGAGCUCAAGUGUUUCUACUAUAGCUACUUCAGACGAGUGUUACAGCUCAGGCUUCCAAUUGAUGGCUAUGAGACUUGAAGGUAGUAUAUUGAGGUGGUAUACAAGUAAUGCAAUCUUGUGGGGCGCCCUUGAUGUACUCCAUUGAGCAUUUCACUCUAUGCUGGUGAGAGAAGUUGAUCGACCGAUGCAGUAGAUUGACUUAGGGAUGUUUGAAGCUCAGGUUUACAGGAUAUAUAUACAUGUAGGACAUAUUUUUUUUCUUUUUUUGGGGUAUAAUCUGUUCCUUGCAGGAUUCUUCGAGCAUUUUUUUACAAAGCGUCGAGUAUUAGAGAUAAGCUUGAUUUCUCUAUUAGGAAAUGUAAUGAGAGCGGAAUAGCUGGAAAGAAUUCUCUCUCAAUUCCUUUUCUCUCAUUUCCUUCCCACUCCUGCUUCAGAAAAGAAGUAAAAUUCUUGUACGGGAAGAUUGAAAGGAUUUAGUUUUUAUAGGUAAAAUAUGGUAUCUUUCAUCAACUCCCCUUCUUAAUUUCCAAAUAGGAUUGCUAUCAAAGGAAAUUUGCUCGCUUGGGGGACUCGACAAAGUGUCAGCAUGUAGUAAUUAGUACAUCAUCUCAGCUUACCAGCCCAAGCUCAAAUAAAGGUUCAAGCCCAAGUGAAGCAAAUGAUAAGCCCAAGUAAAGAUGCAGAUUCCAGCUCAGCAUUUAGUUAGUUACAAGUUGUUGGAUGUAAUAACUUUCUGUUAGCAAUUCAGUUAGCUUUCUUUCUUUGUAAUAAAGAUAGCUACAUCUAGUAUAAAUAUAGAUUGUACAAUGAGAUUCAUUCAUUCAAUUACACAGUCAAUAAAAUCUCAUUUCUAUUCUCUCUCUA
This is a long non-coding RNA of Beta vulgaris subsp. vulgaris (sugar beet), 4855 nucleotides long. RefSeq lists it as uncharacterized. The transcript is spliced from 8 exons. Lineage: Eukaryota; Viridiplantae; Streptophyta; Magnoliopsida; Caryophyllales; Amaranthaceae. The record is from RefSeq and is a predicted model, not a curated record.